AAAAUGACACAUUAACAAAUCGAAGAAAAUCUAUAUUAAAGUCAUGUUUCAUUAUUAGUCGGAUUUUUUUAAUGAAAAUUACAAGUGUGAAAAUUGAUACGUAUCCAAAUUAAAAUUAAGUAUUAAAAAUGUCAGUAAAUUAUUAAAUAUGAAGAUGAAAUAAAGAAAUUAUUAAGUUACCGUGUCUGCCAUACUGUUUUGUUGUGAAAUAAUUUUGGAACACAAUUUUUAGACACUGUUGAACAAAAGGAAAACACUGUAAAAAAAUUUUACGCAGUUGAUUUAUUUUUUACAAGGAAAUUGCCAUAAAUAUGCUAUUAAUAAUGUAUAUAAACUAUUGAAAUGGUUUUCGAAAGCAGUAUAAUUAUGAUUUUGUUUUUAAAUUAUAAGGACGAAAUUGCAGUGAACAUGGUUAUGCUGCUGUGAUGUUGGCUGUACUAUUUAAACGUCAAUCCGCGUCAUGAAGACGAAUCUUGUAAAAUUUUAUUUCUUUCAUACUGCAAGUUAUAAACACUAGGUGUACAUAAUUGAUAAAAAUGUUGACAUCAAUUUAAUACAGAUUGUGGGGUAGAAAAUGUUUUUAUGACUAUUCAAAGAUCCGUGUAAUAGAAAUACAAAUGAAAAAAUUCUGUAAUAAAAAUAUAGUUCAGUUCAGUUUACUAUAUUUAUAUAAUUUUGUAUUUUUUUUUAACCACUUUAAAUCCAGCUACAUUAUAACAG
Long non-coding RNA from Plodia interpunctella (Indianmeal moth), 720 nucleotides. RefSeq lists it as uncharacterized. The transcript is spliced from 3 exons. The record is from RefSeq and is a predicted model, not a curated record. Lineage: Eukaryota; Metazoa; Arthropoda; Insecta; Lepidoptera; Pyralidae.